This 381-nucleotide ribosomal RNA is filed under the name uncultured bacterium. RNAcentral describes it as "bacterial SSU rRNA". It matches the Rfam family "Bacterial small subunit ribosomal RNA", at positions 524 to 902 of the family's 1533-position model. The record is from RNAcentral.
UACGUAGGGUGCGAGCGUUAAUCGGAAUUACUGGGCGUAAAGCGUGCGCAGGCGGUUUGCUAAGACCGAUGUGAAAUCCCCGGGCUCAACCUGGGAACUGCAUUGGUGACUGGCAGGCUAGAGUAUGGCAGAGGGGGGUAGAAUUCCACGUGUAGCAGUGAAAUGCGUAGAGAUGUGGAGGAAUACCGAUGGCGAAGGCAGCCCCCCUGGGCCAAUACUGACGCUCAUGCACGAAAGCGUGGGGGGAGCAAACAGGAUUAGAUACCCUGGUAGUCCACGCCCUAAACGAUGUCAACUAGUUGUUGGGGAUUCAUUUCCUUAGUAACGUAGCUAACGCGUGAAGUUGACCGCCUGGGGAGUACGGUCGCAAGAUUAAAACUC